AUUUCGUACGGCUGCACACGGAGCUUGCUCUGUGGGAUCAGUGGCGAACGGGUGAGUAACACGUGAGCAACCUGCCCCUGACUCUGGGAUAAGCGCUGGAAACGGCGUCUAAUACUGGAUAUGUGACGUGAUCGCAUGGUCUGCGUCUGGAAAGAAUUUCGGUUGGGGAUGGGCUCGCGGCCUAUCAGCUUGUUGGUGAGGUAAUGGCUCACCAAGGCGUCGACGGGUAGCCGGCCUGAGAGGGUGACCGGCCACACUGGGACUGAGACACGGCCCAGACUCCUACGGGAGGCAGCAGUGGGGAAUAUUGCACAAUGGGCGCAAGCCUGAUGCAGCAACGCCGCGUGAGGGACGACGGCCUUCGGGUUGUAAACCUCUUUUAGCAGGGAAGAAGCGAAAGUGACGGUACCUGCAGAAAAAGCGCCGGCUAACUACGUGCCAGCAGCCGCGGUAAUACGUAGGGCGCAAGCGUUAUCCGGAAUUAUUGGGCGUAAAGAGCUCGUAGGCGGUUUGUCGCGUCUGCUGUGAAAUCCGGAGGCUCAACCUCCGGCCUGCAGUGGGUACGGGCAGACUAGAGUGCGGUAGGGGAGAUUGGAAUUCCUGGUGUAGCGGUGGAAUGCGCAGAUAUCAGGAGGAACACCGAUGGCGAAGGCAGAUCUCUGGGCCGUAACUGACGCUGAGGAGCGAAAGGGUGGGGAGCAAACAGGCUUAGAUACCCUGGUAGUCCACCCCGUAAACGUUGGGAACUAGUUGUGGGGUCCAUUCCACGGAUUCCGUGACGCAGCUAACGCAUUAAGUUCCCCGCCUGGGGAGUACGGCCGCAAGGCUAAAACUCAAAGGAAUUGACGGGGACCCGCACAAGCGGCGGAGCAUGCGGAUUAAUUCGAUGCAACGCGAAGAACCUUACCAAGGCUUGACAUAUACGAGAACGGGCCAGAAAUGGUCAACUCUUUGGACACUCGUAAACAGGUGGUGCAUGGGUUGUCGUCAGCUCGUGUCGUGAGAUGUUGGGGUUAAGUCCCGCAACGAGCGCAACCCUCGUUCUAUGUUGCCAGCACGUAAUGGUGGGAAACUCAUGGGAAACUGCCCGGGUCAACUCGGAGGAAGGUGGGGAUGACGUCAAUCAUCAUGCCCUUAUGUCUUGGGCUUCACGCCAUGCUACAAUGGCCCGGUACAAAGGCUGCAAUACCGUGAGGUGGAGCGAAUCCAAAAGCCCGGUCCAGUUCGGAUUGAAGGUUCGGCAACUCUCGAACCUCAUUGAGAGUCGGAAUCG
This 1273-nucleotide ribosomal RNA is filed under the name Microbacterium oxydans. RNAcentral's name for it is "bacterial SSU rRNA". It matches the Rfam family "Bacterial small subunit ribosomal RNA", at positions 59 to 1334 of the family's 1533-position model. The record is from RNAcentral. Lineage: Bacteria; Bacillati; Actinomycetota; Actinomycetes; Micrococcales; Microbacteriaceae.